AACCUUAUGGACCUGCGGGCGUAUACCUGCGGAGGGAUCAUUACAAGUGACCCCGGUCUAACCACCGGGAUGUUCAUAACCCUUUGUUGUCCGACUCCGUUGCCUCCGGGGCGACCCUGCCUUCGGGCGGGGGCUCCGGGUGGACACUUCAAACUCUUGCGUAACUUUGCAGUCUGAGUAAACUUAAUUAAUAAAUUAAAACUUUUAACAACGGAUCU
This 218-nucleotide unclassified non-coding RNA is filed under the name soil metagenome. Its description in RNAcentral is "partial contains 5.8S ribosomal RNA, internal transcribed spacer 2, and large subunit ribosomal RNA". The record is from RNAcentral.